UGGACAGCAAUAGCUUGGCCUUCCCAUAAUCCCUCACUCCAGGUUUUAUUCCAAUUUGAAGGAAAUGCCUCCUCAAGUUCUUGUGAGUACCAUUUCUGAUACUGUAUACGAACAAGAAGAGCUUCUUAGAUAUCUAUUUUUAAAAGAUAAGAAAUAACUUAUUGUUAUAGAUAUUUUUUGUUCAAUACUUUCUUUCCCCUGUA
This is a long non-coding RNA of Amphimedon queenslandica, 203 nucleotides long. RefSeq lists it as uncharacterized. Lineage: Eukaryota; Metazoa; Porifera; Demospongiae; Haplosclerida; Niphatidae. The record is from RefSeq and is a predicted model, not a curated record. The transcript is spliced from 2 exons.